Molecule: long non-coding RNA, 975 nt
Filed under: Panax ginseng (ginseng)
Lineage: Eukaryota; Viridiplantae; Streptophyta; Magnoliopsida; Apiales; Araliaceae
Description: long non-coding RNA (PGIN_LNC010570)
Source: RNAcentral
CCAACUAAGUCUUCAUUACAAUUAUUGAUACAAUACUUUACAAAAAUGAUGAGUACUACUAAAACAACUUCCUAGAACCUUCAUUCCGUACCCCGACUAGUACUCGCUACAUUCUCGCCUCCUGAGAAGAAAAAUGGAACAAAAAGAAAAAGGGUGAGCUCAACUAGCCCAGUAAAAAAUAUUAUGACUAAGAUAAUAUAGAACAAAUUAUCGUUAGUCUUCAACAGGAAAAAAUCUGAUAGAAUACAAUAGACAACAAGUUUCAGAUCAGCAACGGAAAUAAUAAUUCAUAGAUGAGUUACGUAGAGAAUAAAAUCUACUAUUAUCUAUGAAUUUAAAAGUCCAUCGCCAAUAUUUUAUCUCUGUAACAUCAAUCAAUAUUCAUCUUAAAUCAAAUUUUCAUUUUUGCACUACAGGCCAAAGAUAUUCAUCAGUCGGUCAUGUUCAUCUCAACACCUGUUCAUCUUUGCACUACGGGCCAGAUAUAUUCAUUAUAAAAUAAUUUAUCUUUACACUACAGGCCAAAGAUAUUCAAUAAUAUCAUCAUUAAGGACAGAGGAUGAUGAAAAAUAUUUUUAAGGAAACGAAUCCAGUGAAACAAAAGAAUAAAUAUCAAGGAUUCAAGAAUGAUUAAAACAUGGAUACAAUCAAAGCUAGUAUCCAUAAUAGAUAUUUUGAACGAAAAGAAAAAAAUUUUAUUUUUCGAUGAAUAGUGCCGUAUACGUGAAUAGUAACCCCGACACAAAAAAUUCUAAAUUUGAUUAAAAGUUCAGAUCAAUACUUCGACAUAAUGAUAUUGAAAGAAAUAAUAUCAUAUAUGAAAAAAAUAACAUCCCUUACCUCGAAAAGACAGUACUCCUGACUAGAAUACUAUAUAUAGUGCUGAAGGGAACUUGCACCGUAUAGCAACACUUAAGGUAUCAAAAUACGCACAAGAAUACGCUCAAUAUAUCGAGAGAGAAAUAGAGAGAAAUC